RNAcentral lists this transfer RNA (73 nucleotides) under Candidatus Daviesbacteria bacterium. Its description in RNAcentral is "tRNA-Met". It matches the Rfam family "tRNA". From Rfam's summary of the family: Transfer RNA (tRNA) molecules are approximately 80 nucleotides in length. Their secondary structure includes four short double-helical elements and three loops (D, anti-codon, and T loops). Further hydrogen bonds mediate the characteristic L-shaped molecular structure. tRNAs have two regions of fundamental functional importance: the anti-codon, which is responsible for specific mRNA codon recognition, and the 3' end, to which the tRNAs corresponding amino acid is attached (by aminoacyl-tRNA synthetases). tRNAs cope with the degeneracy of the genetic code in two manners: having more than one tRNA (with a specific anti-codon) for a particular amino acid; and 'wobble' base-pairing, i.e. permitting non-standard base-pairing at the 3rd anti-codon position. Lineage: Bacteria; Candidatus Daviesiibacteriota. The record is from RNAcentral.
GCCAGGGUAGCUCAGCUAGUAGAGCACCGGAUUCAUAUCCCGGCGGUCGUGGGCGCGCACCCCACCCCUGGUA